Molecule: ribosomal RNA, 643 nt
Filed under: uncultured bacterium
Lineage: Bacteria
Description: bacterial SSU rRNA
Rfam family: Bacterial small subunit ribosomal RNA
Source: RNAcentral
CAAAGGAGUGAUCCGGCAGAGGAUGGACAUGCGGCGCAUUAGCUAGUCGGCGGGGUAACGGCCCACCGAGGCUACGAUGCGUAGGGGUUCUGAGAGGAAGGUCCCCCACACUGGUACUGAGACACGGACCAGACUCCUACGGGAGGCAGCAGUGAGGAAUAUUGGUCAAUGGGCGGAAGCCUGAACCAGCCAAGUCGCGUGAGGGAAGACGGUCCUAUGGAUUGUAAACCUCUUUUGCAGGGGAGCAAGGCGCGGUACGUGUACCGCGAAGGAGAGUACCCUGAGAAAAAGCAUCGGCUAACUCCGUGUCAGCAGCCGCGGUAAUACGGAGGAUGCGAGCGUUAUCCGGAUUUAUUGGGUUUAAAGGGUGCGCAGGCGGACUGUUAAGUCAGCGGUAAAAUGUCGGUGCUCAACACCGGCCGGCCGUUGAAACUGGCAGCCUUGAGUGAGCGAGAAGUAUGCGGAAUGCGUGGUGUAGCGGUGAAAUGCAUAGAUAUCACGCAGAACUCCGAUUGCGAAGGCAGCAUACCGGCGCUCAACUGACGCUCAGGCACGAAAGCGUGGGUAUCGAACAGGCUUAGAUACCCUGGUAGUCCACGCAGUAAACGAUGAAUGCUCACUGUCCGGGCCGUUUAAGGCCUGG